Molecule: transfer RNA, 119 nt
Organism: Microdochium bolleyi
Lineage: Eukaryota; Fungi; Ascomycota; Sordariomycetes; Xylariales; Microdochiaceae
Rfam family: tRNA
About the family: Transfer RNA (tRNA) molecules are approximately 80 nucleotides in length. Their secondary structure includes four short double-helical elements and three loops (D, anti-codon, and T loops).
Source: Rfam
GGCAAGAUGGCCGAGCGGUCUAAGGCGCCAGACUCAAGUUAUAAAAAACUUGGCUCUCCUCCAGGAGAGAUCUCAUUCUGGUCACGAAAGUGGCAGGGGUUCGAAUCCCCUUCUUGUCA